AAGCCAAAAACGAGACCAAACAAAACGAGGCACAACAAUGAAGAAAAGCGCGAAAAGUACGAAGCAUAAUGAACUAAAACCAGAGAGAAAAACCGCGCACAACGUCUCAAGCAAGAUACAGAGCCGCGCACACACUCGGUACAACCUCAACGGGGAAAAGAUGCUCUCAGUGUUUGAGGUCUUGGGGUCUCGAGAACUCUCUGGCACUGUCAAGUAUCUCGCACUUGCACUUUAAUCAUCGCCAAAAGACCGCUGCCCUCGCGUCUUUUGCAUUCUUAUUAAUUAUUUUUAUUGCUCAGCUAUAAAUAAAGGCCUCCGAAAAGAGCCAGUCUCUUAUUAUGCAAAACCACACAUGAGAAAGAAUUAAUUAUAAUUCCCUUCGUUCUAACAGUUGGCUUAAAUAUUGUCACUUGCUUUGUAGGAGAUUCAUGACCAGGCGACACCGCUCCAAACAGUAUUUCCAAAUAGUGUUUCUAUUUAUUUUUGCAUAUUUUGUUGUGUUUCACUCAUUCACGUUCACGUUUCACAGGUUGGCACUACAUGGCUUAUGCGUGAUGCGAGAACCGAUUCAGAGACGCCGACCUCUGCUUGCUUUAUUUUACUUUUUAUUUAUAUUUUGUCUAUUUUUUUUUGUUAAACUUUCUGCCUGCCGCUCGUCCGCUGGCCGCUCGUCGACUGAUUGAGAUAUAUUGAGUCUGCCGCUCGAAACGCGCACACAAAGCACUAAUACAACGAAAGCACCAGCGGCAAAUGACAAAAGUGCCAGGGCAGCGCAGCGCAGCGGCAGAGGUAGAGGCCCACCAGCCCACUACGACCCCACUCAGCAAUUAUCUGGCUUUCGUCAUAUAUUUUUGACAAAACAGAAAGAUAUAGAGGAUGUUUGCGAAGCCAAAAUACCUCAAAUGAGAGGAUCAUCGCUGUCGCCGCUACCACACUCAUGCGUAAAUAUAUAUAUAUAUAUAUGUACACUGUGUGCUUUUUCUGCCCAGAUAACGAUAUCAACGCCGACUGCGCUCUCUCCAAAUCAUAUAUAUCCACACGAGAGAGCGGCAAACGCUGCCGAAGCCGACGACACAUGUAUAUGGGGCUAUUAGCAAGUCUAACUGCUAUAUGAUCUCACCAUCAAGAUGCUUGAAAGUGCUAGACCCCCUAUAAGGCGGAUUAUUUGUGCUUUCUCGCGAUUAGAUCAUCUUAACCUAUCCCAAUGCGAAGCUUCCAUAUUAUUUUAUUUUGAUUUGUGAUUUGAUUUAGAUUUUGUAAUAUAAUAGAAACCAACGAGUAGUAAUCAAAUAAUGCCCGUUCCUUGUGACGCAUUUAAAUCGAGAUAUGCAAACUAAACUGUAUUAUCAAAUCUUAUAAAUGAUAUUUGAAUCCGUGUAACAUCAUAUACACAAUACAUAUACAAAAACGCAAACCUUGGCCAAAAUUUAGCCAUCGCGCAUACAAAAUUGCAGAAAGUUAUAAAACAUUUACGGGACUAGUAAAGAUAAUAAUUCCUAAGACUUAGUAUUUAUUUUCUGUUUCUUACUGCUUGACAAGGUUCUAUUGAAAAAUGGCAAAGCCCAAAGAAACACCUGCAAAAUAUAUCAUACUUAUGUCACUCAGAUAAGCCUUGAUAAGAAGAGUAUGUUCUUUUAGGCCGACCACAGUUAGAAAACCCUUAAAACCUGUUGAAUAUCUGGGGGCCAUGAAAAGAAAAGGAUCACCAAUACGGCCAGGUGUGCAGAGUUGAUAUCUACAUAGGUAUUGACUAUUACUCAUCACUGAAAUCAAAAUAUGUCUGUGGAUCUUAUCAGCCAUGAGGAGCUCCAUACUAUAGAUAAGGUGAAAAAGUUUGCCGGGAGGAAAACGAUUCGUCAUAUCUCGGGUCCAAAAGAUCAGGCACCACAUGGAUGACACUAUCGAUUUUCUAAAAACCUUUUGGAGCAAUCCUUGGCCAUUUAAUUAUUAGUAAACCGAUUAGGGUUUUUCCAUGUUUAUUACCCAUUUAGUUCCUAUCUCAGAGCAAAACUUUCAGGUUGUAAAACUGUUAUGAAUGUUAUAACUUUGGGGUGAUAAGAUAUGAUUGCCAUGAAAGCAUUUAUCCACAUCAAGCUGAAGUUGAGUGGCGGGGCACUCUAAGCAUUAUUAAUCAUACUCUCGCGCCGUGCAAUCGCAAAAUGUUUGAUAAUAAUGCGCCAAAAACAAUAGCACAAAAAGAGCAACAAAAGCUCUAAACAAAAAUAAAAGCCGACAUGCGUCACACCAAAAUCGGAACACAUGGCUGCGUUGGCAAGGUGUUUUCUUGGGUGGGGUACUCGUGGCGAGUCUGCCAUAAGAAAAUGCAUAGAUGUCGCCUUUAGCCAGGUUCUACUGGUAUGCAGGAUCAGGUGAUAGCCAUGAGUACUACGGACGUGCUGAUGGUGGAACUAAAACAUAGAAAGAACUUAAAUUGCAACACUCAAUGGGUCUUAGAAUCGUGCCGAUCGGCAAAGUUAAAAUACUUUUUAUUCCUGAUGAUAGAAUGCGGCGGAUGUUGAAUAACCCAAUAGUUGAUCAGAUGCGAUGAUCAAUAAUUUCCAUUUUUGUGUGCGAGGCAGUUCGUGAAUAUAAUUACUAACAUGCGAAUAGAAGUUUGAAAAGGCAGAGCUAAAUAUGAAACCAAAAUCAAAGAGAUGGGCCCCAGUCUUGAUGGCAAAGAUCAAAAACCUCGCGCCCAGUUAAACGGUAAUCAGUUGAUGAUUUUCAAAUUAAAGCGAUGGAUGCAAGUGAAAAAGAAAUCUAAAUUAUAAAAGAAACUAAAAAUUGAUGAUGACGGAUUAAAAUGAUAAGUAUCGGUCUACUUUUUGAACUGUGCUGGAAAUUUAAUUUUGUUUGGAACUUCACCUGGCGAUGAUGGCGCCGGACUGUUACUCAAACUGUCCGUGGACGGAAGUUUGGUCAUGAGCACUUUUAGCGAAGGUCGCCGUUUGAAUUUGAAAUCGAAUACUGAGGAGCAGUUUGCAGCACACACAUACAUACGGGGAGAGAAAGAAAGCGAGCAAUAUGUAUAUUGAUAUAGAUAUAUAUUAUAGGUUAGGCGCUUAAAGAUCUUAGGUCACUGGUACAGACAGUUUUACGUUUACGCACGACAACAUAGACAACGACUAAUUGUACAACUGAAGACGGAAAACUUUGGGACACGAAACACACAGAAUGACAUCAGGACAACAAACUUAAAACACAAAUCCAUUGAAGAAUCAGAGUGUGACAAAAAUACAAAUACAUACAUACAUAGUUUCUCAACGAAAAUCAGGUAUUAUUAUGCCUAAAGUGAAUGCUUAAUUCUGAAUAAUACGUUGGUAAUUCUGGGUAUUUAGGAGAUCAAAAAGCCAGAUAAGGGAUAAGCUUGCUUUAAAUCAAAGUUAUCAAAACACUUAAUAGACCUUCCAUUUUGACCUCGAUUUUGGCUCUAGUUCAGUUCAACACAGUCUAACACGCUCAAUCCUUGACAGGACUAAGCCUGAGCCCCCUUGAUCCAAUCAGGCGUAAGGAAAACUCAAGACAUGGCCCCCCAGCCCAUCCAUUACCAUUACGGCCUUAAUUAUGGCCGCUCAUCAAUUGUCUGCUAUCGGACAUGGGAGCUCAGCACGCAGCUGGAGCUGAAGCGCCAAGGAGGCGCCUGCCUGGCUGGCGGUAAUUAAGAUUGCGAUGGCGAUGCAGAUGUGAAUGGCGUGGGUUGGGAUAGGAUGGCCGAGAAAAUACAGUGCCCUGAUUGAUUUAAAAUAAAGCGCCAACGCCUUGCAGGCAAUCAAUUUACGCAAUUAGAACACGCCUUCGUUGUUUCUAAUAGUUCAGGGUUCAACGCCAAAGUCGUUUACCACAUAUUAACCCCGCACGCUGAGAAUUAAGGUAAAUAGCAUGUAUAUCUACCUAACGAGAACUGUUUAAUUAGGAAAAUAGUAAUAAUCCACAACAAUUACGAUUAUUUUAUGAAUCAAUUUACAAAACAAAAAAAUAUAAUUCACUAAGCCUGAGCAAUACAAACCAUAGGGCUACACUAAAUUGAUUGAUAAUGUUUGAGUCACAGCGAAACUUUUUCUGCUGCAACUAAAUAAAUUUUUUUCAGCGUGGCUGUUCCGUUAUUUCUGGUCCGAAGGAUUCUAGCUGGUGCAAGACACUGCACCAUACAAAGAGUGCAGUUUUGAGUUGCCCACUGGGUUUCGCCCGAAAUGACGUAAUUUUUGCCUCUAAAAUGGCGCCGCUCUAAAUGACCCCCAUUCUCGUUGACCCCGCCACAAAAUAUAUUUCGUUGCUUUUUUUUACGUAAUCCAAUUACAAUUUAGUUGGCUUUUAGUGUGAGCGUGUGUGUUUGGUCGGUCGGUCACUAUACUUUAUGGUCAAUACGUAUAGAGACUUUAACUAGAAACUUCACUUAAGAAGAGCGAGGGAUCAAUGGGGGCCUGCACAAGAAAAAACACUUAACAGCCAUCUACUCAUUGCGUCCAUCUAAUGUUUUAUUUAUCGGACGAUAAUUUGCUCAAAAGCAUGCCGUAAAGUAUUCAUUGCACCACAGACACACCUUCACACUCACGUGACCCUUUUAAUAUGCAAAUGCACAUGUAAAUAGCAAUUUCCGACCGAAAUAUUACAAACUUAUAGUUCACAUUUUGUACGAUUUAUAACCACAUUUAACAGCCAAUUUACAAUUAGCACUUAAAAUAAUAUGCUUUUCAAUUUCUCCUUUCGUAUAGAAAAAUAUAUUAGUGUUUCAUUUCGCUUUUUUUUUUUAUAUAUUUAGUUUUAUUAAAGCGACGAAUCCGUACAUGCAGUACUAGUACCAUAACAUUGCAUUCAUUUCGCUAGUAAUUAUUUUCUGUGUAAGCUGCAUCUCUGUUCUGCAAUCCGUAUCUCGCUUUUGACCUUUUGGAGAGGGCAGCAAUUUUCAGCAACAACAAAAAUAGAACGCGGCUCUGGGGGUUGAGUCAAAAAAGGGGGGUGGAAUACACCAACUGACCCUGCUUUUAUCCUUUUCGUCCUUCACGAAGGCCCACUUUUAAAACUAUGAAAAUGUAGCCGAAGAAUGCAUUCUCUUAAGAACACUUUUAUCUCGUUUUGAACUUUUAGGACCCACAAACUUUAAAAGUAAACCAGUUAUUCAAUACAAUAAGUUAAUUAGCAUUUAAGAUUAAAGCUGUCCUACUUUCUUAGAAAGAUCGUUGCAUAGUUUUAGGCUUUUACUGACAUUAAAUCUUUAUAUAAUAUUAUUCAUUUAUCAGAUUUUUAUAC
Drosophila yakuba is the source of this 5247-nucleotide long non-coding RNA. RefSeq lists it as uncharacterized. The transcript is spliced from 2 exons. Lineage: Eukaryota; Metazoa; Arthropoda; Insecta; Diptera; Drosophilidae. The record is from RefSeq and is a predicted model, not a curated record.